UCCAUGUGUAAUUCUUCUUGGU
RNAcentral lists this microRNA (22 nucleotides) under Bombyx mori (domestic silkworm). Its description in RNAcentral is "bmo-miR-3375-5p". The record is from miRBase by way of RNAcentral. Lineage: Eukaryota; Metazoa; Arthropoda; Insecta; Lepidoptera; Bombycidae.